Molecule: ribosomal RNA, 66 nt
Filed under: Paederota bonarota
Lineage: Eukaryota; Viridiplantae; Streptophyta; Magnoliopsida; Lamiales; Plantaginaceae
Description: partial 18S ribosomal RNA
Rfam family: Eukaryotic small subunit ribosomal RNA
Source: RNAcentral
CCUUAYYAUUUANAGGAAGGAGAAGUCGUAACAAGGUUUCCGUAGGUGAACCUGCGGAAGGAUCAU